AAGACUGGAAUGAGCAGGGGCUUUGGGUUCGUCAACUUUGUUCACAGGGAGGACGCCGAGAAGGCCAUCAGCAAGCUCAAUGGGUAUGGUUAUGAUAACCUCAUCCUCCAUGUGGAGAUGGCUGCACCUAGGCCUACUUAGUUACUGCCUACUAAGCAUCCAGAUUUCCUACAAGUGUCGUAUCAUUAUGGUCUCCGAAAUACCCGUACGUUUGUGUCGUGAGCUUGUGUCAUGUUUUGCCUUGUUGAGAAUAACUACACUCUGGUGGUGAAAAAGUGAAUUUCUUAAGGGAUGGCACUUGAGUUUAUAUUUCAUCAAGCUUUGUAUACCUGUUGCUUCAUUUGGUUACUAUACUCCACUUGCUUCUCUUUGCUACCUGGAUGGUCAAGAUCAGUUGAGAAUCUGCCGAUUUCACUAUGCU
RNAcentral lists this long non-coding RNA (421 nucleotides) under Triticum aestivum (bread wheat). RNAcentral's name for it is "long non-coding RNA (TAES_LNC012520)". Lineage: Eukaryota; Viridiplantae; Streptophyta; Magnoliopsida; Poales; Poaceae. The record is from RNAcentral.